UACGUAGGGGGCUAGCGUUGCUCGGAAUCACUGGGCGUAAAGGGCGCGUAGGCGGCCUGAUAAGUCGGGGGUGAAAGCCUGUGGCUCAACCACAGAAUUGCCUUCGAUACUGUUAGGCUUGAGACCGGAAGAGGUAAGUGGAACUGCGAGUGUAGAGGUGAAAUUCGUAGAUAUUCGCAAGAACACCAGUGGCGAAGGCGGCUUACUGGUCCGGAUCUGACGCUGAGGCGCGAAAGCGUGGGGAGCAAACAGG
RNAcentral lists this ribosomal RNA (253 nucleotides) under uncultured bacterium. Its description in RNAcentral is "partial 16S ribosomal RNA". It matches the Rfam family "Bacterial small subunit ribosomal RNA", at positions 524 to 776 of the family's 1533-position model. The record is from RNAcentral.